AUUGAACGCUGGCGGCAGGCCUAACACAUGCAAGUCGAGCGGAUGAAGGGAGCUUGCUCCUGGAUUCAGCGGCGGACGGGUGAGUAAUGCCUAUGAAUCUGCCUGGUAGUGGGGUAUAACGUCCGGAAACGGGCGCUAAUACCGCAUCCGUCCUGAGGGAGAAAGUGGGGGAUCUUCGGACCUCACGCUAUCAGAUGAGCCUAGGUCGGAUUAGCUAGUUGGUGGGGUAAAGGCCUACCAAGGCGACGAUCCGUAACUGGUCUGAGAGGAUGAUCAGUCACACUGGAACUGAGACACGGUCCAGACUCCUACGGGAGGCAGCAGUGGGGAAUAUUGGACAAUGGGCGAAAGCCUGAUCCAGCCAAGCCGCGUGUGUGAAGAAGGUCUUCGGAUUGUAAAGCACUUUAAGUUGGGAGGAAGGGCAGUAAGUUAAUACCUUGCUGUUUUGACGUUACCAACAGAAUAAGCACCGGCUAACUUCGUG
Molecule: ribosomal RNA, 484 nt
Filed under: uncultured bacterium
Lineage: Bacteria
Description: partial 16S ribosomal RNA
Rfam family: Bacterial small subunit ribosomal RNA
Source: RNAcentral